Nycticebus coucang (slow loris) is the source of this 105-nucleotide small nuclear RNA. Lineage: Eukaryota; Metazoa; Chordata; Mammalia; Primates; Lorisidae. The record is from RefSeq and is a predicted model, not a curated record.
GCUUGCUUCGGCAAGCAUAUACUAAAAUUGGAAUGAUACAGAGAAGAUUAGCAUGGCCCCUGCAAAAGGAUGAAAAGCAAACUUGUAAAAAUGUUCUGUAUUUAA